Oreochromis niloticus (Nile tilapia) is the source of this 637-nucleotide long non-coding RNA. RefSeq lists it as uncharacterized. The transcript has 3 exons. The record is from RefSeq and is a predicted model, not a curated record. NCBI's taxonomy places the organism in Eukaryota, Metazoa, Chordata, Actinopteri, Cichliformes, Cichlidae.
GUGUUUUAUUCCAUGUUUUACCCAGUCUGUGCUCUCCCCGUGCUCGCUCUCCUCCUGUCUGAACCUCUGUGUACUUCCUGUUUUACUUUGACAGUCUCCCGUCAGUGUUGCGUUUACUCCUGCCAUGUCUCGUUAUGAUUAUCUGUGUCAGCUGUGUUCCCCGUGUGCUCCCACUUCCCUCGUUAACCCUCUGUGUAUUUAUGUCCACGUCUCCCUUAGUUCAGCGUCGCGUUCUCCCUCAUGCUGUGUGUGAUUCUCCCCGUGUCUCCAAGUGUACAUUAUAAUUAGCUUUUCCCAGUUUAGUUUGUAUGGUUUUUCUGUCCAGCAAUAAAGCUGUGUUUUCAGUUCAUUCCUACCUCUGUGAGCUUGCGUUUGGGUCCUCAUCCUGCCUGCACACAGCCUAACCAUGACAUGAACAGGGAGAGAAAAGAAAGUGAGCUAACUUUACUCAGAGAUGGAAAAAGAUAAGAAAGACACCACAGGAGAGGAAGAAGAGAUGUUAGAUUUAAAGCCAUCUACCAAGACACACCAACGCAGGCCAUCUACUAAGCCAUGCCGACACCGGCCACCAUCCAAUCCACCUGAGGGUUUCCACCCUAAUCGUCUCCCUCUCCUGUGUCCUGAAGGUUCCCACCUU